CCUACUUCCUACUUCCUGUAAUUGAGAGUGCUCCACCCUAGUCAGUCCCAACACCCACCAGGAGAAAUCUGAUGACCAACCAAAGGCCUCCAAGGAUCUUCCUUGAUCAGACCUCUGCAAGAGCUGGCCCCAACCAUCCUUCACAAUAGACUGAAGCUGGGACCCUCACUGUUAAAGGAUGAAUAAAAUGACCUCUCUUACUCUUUCUGAAAUGUAUUCUCCAAAUACUAGUCUGGAUUUUUUUUUCCAGAUCCUUUGUUAAACACUUCACAGGUUCCAAAAAUUAUGAAAAGAGCUUUCUGUGCAGUGCUUCAUUUAGUCCUUACCUCAGCCCUGGGACCUAAGAAUUAUUACCCCUUUCUACAGGUCCAGGGAGGGAAAGUGCCUAACCCAGGCCAGCCAGCUCUGGCACACUCACUCUCCUCUAUCGUGACUCACUGACCAUGGCCUUCCCCUCCUCCCAGGAACCUAUAUUGUCUUGUUUCUUGCCUUUGCUGAUUGCCAUCCACACCAUUCAUUCUCCUUGUUCUUCUGCUUCACCCAUCAGAUUUGACAUUCAGCACAUUAUUUCCAGCUGUGCUGUCAACCACUCUGGACAAGAAUCUGAUUUCCUCUGCUACCCUGGCCCACAUACAGGCUUAGGCCUUCUUUCCCUGGGACUCUCCAACUCUGGCCCUGCCUCCUGAGUGACAUUUGCAUCUGGCUUCCCAUGGCCUUGAAAGUUAAAUCUGUCAGCCCUUUCAUGUGGUGUGUGACCUUCAGGAGUAUCUUAACAUC
Long non-coding RNA from Herpailurus yagouaroundi (jaguarundi), 777 nucleotides. RefSeq lists it as uncharacterized. The record is from RefSeq and is a predicted model, not a curated record. NCBI's taxonomy places the organism in Eukaryota, Metazoa, Chordata, Mammalia, Carnivora, Felidae. The transcript is spliced from 2 exons.